Long non-coding RNA from Ixodes scapularis (black-legged tick), 212 nucleotides. RefSeq lists it as uncharacterized. The transcript has 3 exons. The record is from RefSeq and is a predicted model, not a curated record. NCBI's taxonomy places the organism in Eukaryota, Metazoa, Arthropoda, Arachnida, Ixodida, Ixodidae.
CCUCAUCAGCUCAUCGACGACUAAAUCGCCCACUUCAAGGUACUUUGGCCAGAUAAACCUCAAAAGAGGUACCAGGUGUGCACCAUGCCAUACCGCAAAGAGCGGCAUUUAUCCGAAAGUUCUCAGGCUCAUCAAGGAAGGGAAAUGAACCCGUCCCAGCUGCACCAAACAGGUGCACGCACCAUUACAGAUUGCAAGCCGUUCUCUUUAAG